Molecule: non-coding RNA, 854 nt
Organism: Cricetulus griseus (Chinese hamster)
Lineage: Eukaryota; Metazoa; Chordata; Mammalia; Rodentia; Cricetidae
Source: RefSeq, a predicted model, not a curated record
GCGGGGGGCCGGGCGCCCCGGAGCGUGGGCGGAGGAGCAACACGGAGCUCGCAGGUUCCCGUAAGACGACUUGCAAAGCCCAGGUGUCCUCCCCCUGUACCGGAUGUUUGCUCUCGGAAGCGUUCUGCGGUUCAAGAAUUGCUUAGAAGAGAGCUUUAAAGGCCUUCUGUGUGCCAUGUAGGAGCCGUGCGGUUGUGUUCAGAGCAGGUUCUUUCUUCCUCUCUGCUGUUUGAAGAGAAGCUGUUUCUCCGACAUGAAGCAAGGCUCCAGAUUUAGGCAUUUCUGCUGCAUAACCCACUAAACUGCCAUUCUUCAUCUAAAGACCUGACCUUUAGAGAACAUUCCAGCUCUGGAAGUCGGAUUAUAUGUCAGAGGAUUGAUGUGCUGUGGCACUUGGGAGUUUCCAUUUAGAAAUGAGCUGGCCAUGUUCCUGAGUGUGAGGAGUCACUGCAGCCUUACUCCUUCAACAGUUAGUUGUGUUUUUCAGGCGGAAGAAUGGAGAAACUUAGUCAUUUCAUGUGAUACAGAGCUGGACUCAGCUUAACAAGCCGUUUGGGCCUUAUACAGCUUAACUUUAGCCUCACCAGAACACCAGAAUAAAGUCUAUAAUCAUUGUUUUGGUUAGGAAAAAUCACUUCCUUGAAUCCACAUAGCCUAACUUGGGAUUUUGAAAGUUAAUGUCUAGGACCCUGCUGAAAACUGGACACCACCAAGGCACCUGCUGGGUUGUCAACACAUAGGAGAUUUUAAUGUACUCUGAUCACAAUGGAUUAUUCUGUAACAGAUGAUAAAUAUGUUGUUUAAAAUACCCCCGUCAUACUAAUAAAUAUGCCAAACAUUUAUAAAGACUUUUA